Long non-coding RNA from Anoplophora glabripennis (Asian longhorned beetle), 409 nucleotides. RefSeq lists it as uncharacterized. Lineage: Eukaryota; Metazoa; Arthropoda; Insecta; Coleoptera; Cerambycidae. The transcript has 3 exons. The record is from RefSeq and is a predicted model, not a curated record.
CUUGUCAACAAAGUACGAUAGUAGUCGUUUACUGCUAGUUAAAAUACAACUUGUAAGAAUGUAUAAAUAAGGACAAAGUUUAUUUUUAAGUAAAUAAAAUUGUGUUUGAGCAGAUUCGUGUGACGAAACAGGAGGCUUUUCAGAUUGCAAUAUGGAUAAGUAAUAAAAAUAAAUUGCCAUAGGACAAAAUUGACGGUAAUUUUAAAAACACAAAGUAAAAUGAGAUAAUCACUAUUCCUUGGGACUUUUGCGAGAUCAAUACAGGGCGUUUCAAAUGAAACGCAUAAGUAUAGUAUAAAUGGAGGCUAGAUAAGACUGGUAUGUUGUUUAACUAUUCUGCAAUAAAAGUUGUACGUCAUCAUUUGGUUCCAUAAUACUUGAAUAUAAGAAGUGGGACUGACUUCCCCGG